UACGACGGGGGCUAGCGUUGUUCGGAAUUACUGGGCGUAAAGCGCACGUAGGCGGACUACUAAGUCAGGGGUGAAAUCCCGGGGCUCAACCCCGGAACUGCCUUUGAUACUGGUAGUCUCGAGUCCGGAAGAGGUGAGUGGAAUUCCGAGUGUAGAGGUGAAAUUCGUAGAUAUUCGGAGGAACACCAGUGGCGAAGGCGGCUCACUGGUCCGGUACUGACGCUGAGGUGCGAAAGCGUGGGGAGCAAACAGG
RNAcentral lists this ribosomal RNA (253 nucleotides) under uncultured bacterium. RNAcentral's name for it is "partial 16S ribosomal RNA". It matches the Rfam family "Bacterial small subunit ribosomal RNA", at positions 524 to 776 of the family's 1533-position model. The record is from RNAcentral.